Molecule: ribosomal RNA, 432 nt
Filed under: uncultured bacterium
Lineage: Bacteria
Description: bacterial SSU rRNA
Rfam family: Bacterial small subunit ribosomal RNA
Source: RNAcentral
GAUGAACGCUGGCGGCGUGCUUAACACAUGCAAGUCGAACGAACCUUCGGGUUAGUGGCGGACGGGUGAGUAACGCGUGAGAAUCUGCCCUCAGGAGGGGGAUAACGGUUGGAAACGACCGCUAAUACCCCAUAUGCCUACUGGUGAAAUGAAUUUCGCCUGAGGAUGAGCUCGCGUCUGAUUAGCUAGUUGGUGAGGUAAUGGCUCACCAAGGCUUCGAUCAGUAGCUGGUCUGAGAGGAUGAUCAGCCACACUGGGACUGAGACACGGCCCAGACUCCUACGGGAGGCAGCAGUGGGGAAUUUUCCGCAAUGGGCGAAAGCCUGACGGAGCAACGCCGCGUGAGGGACGAAGGCCUCUGGGCUGUAAACCUCUUUUCUCAAGGAAGAAGAUAUGACGGUACUUGAGGAAUAAGCCACGGCUAAUUCCGUG